UUUAAUGUAUGAUUAAAGUUUUUGAUGUCGCAGAUACUGCAUCAGGAACUGAUUGGAUACAAAUAUAUCACCAUCAGUUCCUAAUGCAUUGCCUUCAGCAUCUAAACAAG
RNAcentral lists this microRNA precursor (110 nucleotides) under Ochotona princeps (American pika). RNAcentral describes it as "miRNA (ENSOPRG00000017395.1, ENSOPRG00000018207.1)". The stretch from base 16 to 108 matches the Rfam family "mir-217 microRNA precursor family". Lineage: Eukaryota; Metazoa; Chordata; Mammalia; Lagomorpha; Ochotonidae. The record is from RNAcentral.